ACUCAAAGGAAUUGACGGGGACCCGCACAAGCGGUGGAGCAUGUGGAUUAAUUCGAUACUAACCGAAGAACCUUACCCAGACUUGACAUUGAAGGAAAAGCCCUGAAAGGGGUUCCUCUGGUCACAAGCCAGACCUGAAAACACUUGUUGCAUGGCUGUCGUCAGCUCGUGCCGUGAGGUGUACGGUUAAGUCCGCCAACGAGCGCAACCCACGUCCUGUAUUACCAGCGAGAGAGUCGGGCACUUACAGGAGACCGCCGGUGUAAGCCGGAGGAAGGUGUGGAUGAUGUCAAGUCAGCAUGGCAGUUACGUCUGGGGCUUCACACAUGCUACAAUGGGCGCAACAAAGGGCAGCAAUACCGCGAGGUGGAGCAAAUCCCAAAAAUACGUCCUCAGUUCAGAUUGCAGUCUGCAACUCGACUGCAUGAAGGCGGAAUCGCUAGUAAACGCAGGUCAGCUAUACUGCGUUGAAUACGUUCCCGGGUCUUGCACACACCGCCCGU
This 503-nucleotide ribosomal RNA is filed under the name uncultured bacterium. RNAcentral describes it as "partial 16S ribosomal RNA". It matches the Rfam family "Bacterial small subunit ribosomal RNA", at positions 899 to 1397 of the family's 1533-position model. The record is from RNAcentral.